AUACGGAGGGGGCUAGCGUUGUUCGGAAUUACUGGGCGUAAAGCGCGCGUAGGCGGUUUUCCAAGUUGGGGGUGAAAUCCCGAGGCUCAACCUCGGAACUGCCCUCAAAACUGGAUGACUAGAGUCCGGGAGAGGUUGGCGGAAUUCCUAGUGUAGAGGUGAAAUUCGUAGAUAUUAGGAAGAACACCAGUGGCGAAGGCGGCCAACUGGACCGGUACUGACGCUAAGGUGCGAAAGCGUGGGGAGCAAACAGGAUUAGAAACCCCGGUAGUCC
RNAcentral lists this ribosomal RNA (274 nucleotides) under uncultured bacterium. RNAcentral's name for it is "partial 16S ribosomal RNA". It matches the Rfam family "Bacterial small subunit ribosomal RNA", at positions 523 to 796 of the family's 1533-position model. The record is from RNAcentral.